Molecule: long non-coding RNA, 3441 nt
Filed under: Gossypium barbadense (sea-island cotton)
Lineage: Eukaryota; Viridiplantae; Streptophyta; Magnoliopsida; Malvales; Malvaceae
Description: long non-coding RNA (GBAR_LNC002266)
Source: RNAcentral
UGAUGUGUCAAGUCUGAAGCUUAAACUCGUGAAUUACCUGAAAGGGAAAAACUAAAAGGAUGAGCAACACGAGCUCAGUAUGAGUCUGAAACAUAAGUGAAUGGCAGAAACGGAGCAACACAACAAAUAUUUAAGAAACAUACCUAUACCAAAAACAUACGAAAUUCCCAAAUUGGUAAUUCGUUUAUGAAUUUUAUUUCCACUAACCAAUGGUACGCAAAAAUAUUAUUCAGUAUUAACCCUGUCAAUCAUUUUUCAGAUGUGUAAUGAAUACACAGAUAAAAAACCCAUCCAACGAACCAAACAUCACUCCGACCACCCUGCACACCAUAAUUGGGCUAUAUUAGGGCACCCUACACACCACAAAGGGCUAUUAUAAGCUUGUCCACCCUACAAACCACAUAGUGGGUCUCAGUCACUCAGCUGACAUAUAUAUAUGCAUUGCAGAUGUACCACUUUCAAAAUAAUUUUGCAAUUUGACUGCUUAGAAUAGACUUCCUUCUUUUCACAACCAAAACCCCAGUUUUAUGCAAAUGCGAAAAUAUGUACACAAUAUACAAACAGACAUAUAGAAAUGAACUUCCUCACAACUAGAGUAACAAAACCAGAAUUCACAUGCCUACAUUCAACUAAACACAACAAAACACAUUAUUGCAUCCAAGUUUAUAUAAAUAACAUAAUUACAAACCCAAUAUCAAAUAUGUGCUCACGAAUACAACAUUACACAUGCAAAUAGCAUUUCAUAAUUAGUUUAAAAAAAAUUAAGAUCUCACACACUCCUACAGAACUUAAACUAACACAGGAUCAUUCAGGGUCUAAAUCGCAUCGAUUUGUAAAAAGGAAAAAAAAUAAAGAAAUAGUAAAAAAAAAGGCCAUACGGCUGUGUGACCAGGCCAUGUGGGAAGGUCCAACCCGUGUGAGGGUCAACAGGGUCGUCUGGAAAAUUCAUACGGUCAUGUGGCUACAACACGCCCGUGUGGCUACAACACGCUUGUGUGACUAAGUUGCACGACCAUGUGAGUUUCCCAUGUAACUCACUGUGCAUUUGUAACCAAAAUUAGCAUAAUUUUUUAAGUAGAGAAGACACGACCGUGUGGCUAAUUCGCACGCUCGUGUGGCUGAGAUACAUGACCGUGUGACUAAACGACACGCCCGUGUGUAAUCGACACAAUCUUCCUAACAUGGGUCACACGGCUGCGUAACUAGCCCAUGUGACCCACCUUAGAUCGUGUGCCACAAAGCACACCUAAUUUCCAAAUGGCGCACGACUGUGUGAAUCGUUCGUGCGUGGCACAUGCCCGUGUGCCUCAAAACCACCCCCAAACUUGAUGCACAACCAUAAAAUACAUAAAAAACACUCCAAAUACAAAUGUUUAGUAAAUCACACGUUAUUAAGUUCACAAACACCAACGAACGAUCACAAUUCCCCCCGUUGAACAAAACUGAAACUCAAUUACAAGAUCACACAAACUAUUCUAAAACCUUAAUCAACAAUAAUAAAGAAUCCAGAAAACCAAAUUAAAAUUCAAAGGCACUUACACUUUCAACACUUAAACAAAUUAAUCACGCAAUUCCUCUAUUGAAUGAUUGAAACAAAAACUUUAAUGCACGACCAAAUAUAUACAAAAAGAAUCACAAUAGCCAAAAAGAGAAAAAAAGAUGGAACUGAAAAAGGAAGAAAAAGAAGCCAACGUGCGAGAGAAUCAGAGGAAAAGUAGAAUAACGUGAACAAAAAAUUUUAGGGAUUCCUUUCCCUUCUUUUUUUUUAAUUAAAAUUAAAAACUCCAAUAGUUUUUUAUUAAUAAUUUAAAACCAAUCAGAUUUUACUAAUUAUUAUUAUAAAAAAAUAUUUCAAAAUAAUAUAACAAUAUCAGAUUUUAUCAAAACCCUUCAAAUUUAAUUACAAAGUUUUAAAGAAUUAAAAUCAAUAAUUCUAAAAAAAAAAUCCCACAUUGCAUACACAUGGACUCGAACCUGAGACCAAAUGUAAGUUACUGAAGAGAUAGCCGCUGAACAAUCCAACCGAACCACAAACCCCAGCCAACUAACCUGGGUAAUUUUAACCCCAAUUUUGAGGUGUUACAACUCACCUCUCAUUAAAGAAAUUUUGUCCUCGAAAUUUCCUACUAACCAUGCUAUUGCCUAAGCACAAGACUCACCACUACGCUUCCGUUGUGCACUCUACUCCCAACGUGCUACCAUAUCAUACUUAACCUUAAAAUCACUCACACCACUCAAACACUUAACCACUAAUUCAAAUCAAUUCACUUACUAUCACACACACAACACAUUAUCCAACAAUCAAAAAGUCAACUCAUUCACAAACAACACUACACAUAAGUCGAGAUAUCCCACAACUAUACCUGACUCAUUGUCAUCAAGUGCACUCCUUAAUCUGAUGCUCCGUGGACCCGCAUCUGAAAUAUGCUCCUGAGUUUUUUCGACAUUCAUCUAGAUGAUGCUUCUUACAAUGCCUACAAACAGAAACAUCCAUGCCACUAGCAAAACCUUCGACAUUAUGUAACACCCCCACGCCCGAAACCGUCACCGGAGUCAAGCUUGAGGUGUUACUAAACUUAUCUUACCUUUUAAACAACUCUAAACCACUUAUUUUAAUUUUCAGAAUAAACUGUUUUUCUGCGUCAUGGUUGCUUAAAAAUUCAUUUCUCGAGUUUCAAAACUCGAAAUUAAGAUCCAUAAAUUUUUCCUGAACUAGACUCAUAUAUCUAUCUACUAAUUUUUUUCUAGAAUUUUUGACUUAGCCAAUUAGUACAGUUUAUUAGUUAAAGUUACCCCUGUUUCAGAAUUCGACUGCACUGGCCUCUACUUACUACGAACCAUUUUUCUCUCUGUAAAAAAAUCAUAUGACUAUAUCGUUUGUUUAUAAUAAAACUAGAUUCAAUAAGAAUUCUAACCAUAUAAAGUACACCACCUAAUUAUUUUUGUAAAAUUUAUGGUGAAUUUCUAAAGUUGGAACAGGGGAUCCAGAAAUCGCUCUGGCCCUAUUUCACCAAAACUCAGAUACCCUAUAAAAUACAAAACCUUUACCUAUUUUGCUUAUUCCAUAUGAAAAUAGACACAACGAACUUUAAUUUCAUAUAUUAUUCACCAUCAACCCAUGUCUCUACAAUUUCUUGUGAUUUUUCAAAAUCCCAUUAUUUCUGAUACUUGAAUCUAUUUUUAAGUUACUUUCACAUUUUUCUUAGUUUUCAUGUGAUAGUUACUACUUAAUCAUACAUACUAUUAAACAUGUAUAUCAUCAGCCACUCUAUUAGCUAAUCACUAGCAAGUAUUUACACAUCAUUCAUUGAUCAUAUCAUAUCAAAAGAAACCAAGUUCCUAUACAUGCCAUAAACAAAACGAAACGUCUAACUAUACCAAUGUGAUUUCUUCGAUAGUGUGAUCGGAUCUCCGACAUUUCCUUCGAUCCCCGAGUGGCUU